This 253-nucleotide ribosomal RNA is filed under the name uncultured bacterium. RNAcentral describes it as "partial 16S ribosomal RNA". It matches the Rfam family "Bacterial small subunit ribosomal RNA", at positions 524 to 776 of the family's 1533-position model. The record is from RNAcentral.
UACGUAGGGCGCAAGCGUUAUCCGGAAUUAUUGGGCGUAAAGAGCUCGUAGGCGGUUUGUCGCGUCUGCCGUGAAAGUCCGGGGCUCAACUCCGGAUCUGCGGUGGGUACGGGCAGACUAGAGUGAUGUAGGGGAGACUGGAAUUCCUGGUGUAGCGGUGAAAUGCGCAGAUAUCAGGAGGAACACCGAUGGCGAAGGCAGGUCUCUGGGCAUUAACUGACGCUGAGUAGCGAAAGCAUGGGGAGCGAACAGG